AAAGAAAAACUUUAGAAAUCCAUACUCGAUAGGUCCAUCCAUAGGCACGCCCAAGUUCAAGUACUUCAGGGUGAAGCAAUGGUUUGUGUGCUAAGUGAAAUGGAGGUAUGCUUAGCAAGGAAAGGCGGUUAGGGCCACCUGUCAGAGAACCAACAUUUCUUGGUGGAAAAGAAAGUAGGCUUGUUAUGCGUAAGAGUAGUGCGCUUAGCGAG
RNAcentral lists this long non-coding RNA (212 nucleotides) under Lathyrus oleraceus (garden pea). RNAcentral describes it as "Pisum sativum (pea) long non-coding RNA (PSAT_LNC028187)". The record is from RNAcentral. Lineage: Eukaryota; Viridiplantae; Streptophyta; Magnoliopsida; Fabales; Fabaceae.